This 256-nucleotide ribosomal RNA is filed under the name uncultured bacterium. Its description in RNAcentral is "partial 16S ribosomal RNA". It matches the Rfam family "Bacterial small subunit ribosomal RNA", at positions 524 to 777 of the family's 1533-position model. The record is from RNAcentral.
UACGAAGGGGGCUAGCGUUGUUCGGAAUUACUGGGCGUAAAGGGCGCGUAGGCGGUGUGUCAAGUCAGGCGUGAAAGCCCCGGGCUCAACCUGGGAACAGCGCUUGAGACUGGCACGCUCGAGUUCGGGAGAGGAUGGUGGAAUUCCCAGUGUAGAGGUGAAAUUCGUAGAUAUUGGGAAGAACACCGAUGGCGAAGGCAGCCAUCUGGACCGACACUGGACGCUGAGGCGCGAAAAGCGUGGGGAGCAAACAGGG